Molecule: ribosomal RNA, 309 nt
Filed under: uncultured bacterium
Lineage: Bacteria
Description: partial 16S ribosomal RNA
Rfam family: Bacterial small subunit ribosomal RNA
Source: RNAcentral
AGAGACAGCAGCAGCCGCGGUAAUACGGAGGGUGCGAGCGUUAAUCGGAAUUACUGGGCGUAAAGCGUACGCAGGCGGUUUGUUAAGUCAGAUGUGAAAUCCCCGGGCUUAACCCGGGAACUGCAUUUGAAACUGGCAGGCUAGAGUCUCGUAGAGGGGGGUAGAAUUCCAGGUGUAGCGGUGAAAUGCGUAGAGAUCUGGAGGAAUACCGGUGGCGAAGGCGGCCCCCUGGACGAAGACUGACGCUCAGGUACGAAAGCGUGGGGAGCAAACAGGAUUAGAUACCCCUGUAGUCCCUGUCUCUUAUAC